Sorghum bicolor (sorghum) is the source of this 468-nucleotide long non-coding RNA. RefSeq lists it as uncharacterized. The transcript has 4 exons. The record is from RefSeq and is a predicted model, not a curated record. Lineage: Eukaryota; Viridiplantae; Streptophyta; Magnoliopsida; Poales; Poaceae.
AUUGGUUGCGGCACAGACCAUACAUAGACAUCGAGUGACCAAUGGCGAGAGAAAUGCCCUUCUAUCCCGUCGCAAUCGGGUUUUUGAAGCAAACAUUGGAGGAAGGGCUAGAGGGUGUGCGGAUGGAAAAUGCAACGAUUCGAACGGACUGACUCAACCGAGUGUUGUUUGCAACGAUGGUGUCACCCAACAAACUCCAAUUCAAGCACCUAAUAAUUGUAAUGGCACACAAACACAACCGUCUGUAGCUGACGGUACCUCUUCAAUGCCUCCAUAUAGUGCACAAGAUCAUACAUCAGACUCUAUGGUCGAGGAUGACUAUGACGAAGAUGUCAUAUUUGAGGAGGACGAGGAAGAGGAUGAGGCAUACUUUUUCGCCGGUCAAGAAGACGAGGAUGAGGGAACCGAUGUCGACACAUAUGAGCAAGAGAAUCAUGAGCCUGAUGUCCCAGAUCUAUAUGACCGGGU